CUACGGGGCGCUCCAGUGAGGAAUAUUGCACAAUGGGGGGAACCCUGAUGCAGCAACGCCGCGUGGAGGAUGACGCAUUUCGGUGUGUAAACUCCUUUUAUAUGUCAAGAAAAUGACGGUAGCAUAUGAAUAAGCACCGGCUAACUCCGUGCCAGCAGUCGCGGUAAUACGGAGGGUGCAAGCGUUACUCGGAAUCACUGGGCGUAAAGGACGCGUAGGCGGGUUGGAAAGUCAGGUGUGAAAUCCUACAGCUUAACUGUAGAACUGCACUUGAAACUUCUAAUCUAGAGUAUGGGAGGGGGAGAUGGAAUUAGUUGUGUAGGGGUAAAAUCCGUAGAUAUCACUAGGAAUACCUAAAGCGAAGGCGAUCUCCUGGAACAUUACUGACGCUAAGGCGUGAAAGCGUGGGGAGCAAACAGGAUUAGAUACCCCAGUAGUC
Molecule: ribosomal RNA, 439 nt
Filed under: uncultured bacterium
Lineage: Bacteria
Description: partial 16S ribosomal RNA
Rfam family: Bacterial small subunit ribosomal RNA
Source: RNAcentral